This 497-nucleotide ribosomal RNA is filed under the name uncultured bacterium. RNAcentral describes it as "partial 16S ribosomal RNA". It matches the Rfam family "Bacterial small subunit ribosomal RNA", at positions 28 to 507 of the family's 1533-position model. The record is from RNAcentral.
GACGAACGCUGGCGGCGUGCCUAAUACAUGCAAGUUGAGCGCUGAAGGUUGGUACUUGUACCAACUGGAUGAGCAGCGAACGGGUGAGUAACGCGUGGGGAAUCUGCCUUUGAGCGGGGGACAACAUUUGGAAACGAAUGCUAAUACCGCAUAAAAACUUUAAACACAAGUUUUAAGUUUGAAAGAUGCAAUUGCAUCACUCAAAGAUGAUCCCGCGUUGUAUUAGCUAGUUGGUGAGGUAAAGGCUCACCAAGGCGAUGAUACAUAGCCGACCUGAGAGGGGGGUCGGCCACAUUGGGAAUGGGACACGGCCCAAACUCCUACGGGAGGCAGCAGUAGGGAAUCUUCGGCAAUGGACGAAAGUCUGACCGAGCAACGCCGCGUGAGUGAAGAAGGUUUUCGGAUCGUAAAACUCUGUUGGUAGAGAAGAACGUUGGUGAGAGUGGAAAGCUCAUCAAGUGACGGUAACUACCCAGAAAGGGACGGCUAACUACGUG